Molecule: long non-coding RNA, 9821 nt
Filed under: Citrus maxima (pomelo)
Lineage: Eukaryota; Viridiplantae; Streptophyta; Magnoliopsida; Sapindales; Rutaceae
Description: long non-coding RNA (CMAX_LNC001150)
Source: RNAcentral
UUUCCAAAUCUGGAACGCCUAUCUUCUUCAAUUGUUGAUCUUCAAAACCUCACUAAGUUGUAUUUGCGGAGUUGUCCUAAGCUCAAAUACUUUCCGGAGAAGGGCCUGCCUUCCUCACUUUUGCAAUUGUGGAUCUGGGGAUGUCCGUUGAUAGCAGAGAAGUGCAGAAAGGAUGGAGGACAAUAUUGGGACUUGUUAACCCAUAUACCUUGUGUUGUCAUAGAUGGUAAAUCCGCUUUUGGCGAUAACACAUAGGACGGUUGAAAUAUUUUAUUGUUAGUAUUUUUAAAAAAAAAAAAUUGGGCGUGUAUUAUGAGUUGGUGAUUAAUGGGUUUUCGAAAUAAAAAGAACAAUGGGCUCGCAUUAUUUAGCUAGCAAAGGAGGAGGACUCUAUUAAUUAAUUAAUUAAUUAAUUUCUUAUGCCUAUUUCAUUCUCAGCUGUUGAAACUUCAGUUUCUUAUAUUUGUCUUUUCCGCGGUUCGGUUACAUAUAUUUGUCCUUUACAUAAUUUCUUAUGUAAAAUAUUUUAUUAUUAGAAUUUUUUUUUCUUUUAAAUCAAGCGUGUUUGUGUAUGUAAUUUUAAAAUUCAAAUUUGGCUGUUGAAAUAAACUUCAGUUUCUUUUAUUUGGCUGUACGGUUACGUAUGUGUAAUAUUUCUCUUCAUCGGACUUCGGCAAAAAUUGUUAAUGUUCUUAUUAGUAAUUAAUUAGUACGUUAGUGUUCUUCUUUUGUUCCAUAAUUUAUCAAAAUCAUUUUAUUACAUAAUCUUCGUACAUGUACAUCGUCAUCAAAUUCUAUAACAACAAAAACAGAAAAUCAAAAGAAAACAAGAACAUGCCACACAAAUCAAAAACGAAAAGAACAUUAUAACACCAAGUAUUAUAUUUCUCUAAUUACAUUUCGGCUUUGGUGGCCUUAACUUAAAAUCUCCUCUAGAACAAUCUGCCUCAUUAGCAAUAAUGUUAUAAUGUUCUUUUGAUGUUGUUUUUAUCAGUUACUGAAUAUUUGAAUUCAUCAAAACUGUUAUAAUUGAAACGGAUCUUCAUAUUAAUACAUCAACAUGACAGAAAAGGGAAUAUUUUUAAUGAAUUAAUUUCUUAUUGAGUAUGAAUGCGUAAUGUAUAAUGGCUACCUCUUUCUUAGUUGUUCAAAUUAAAUUCAUUUUGCUGUACGGUUAUGUAUAACGAGAUUGAAAUUGUUUCUUCACCAGAAGUAAUGUUAUAAUGUUCUUUUAAUGGUUUAGUAAAGUGGUUUUUGAUUGCCGAUUAAGCACUUGAAGGCUGGACUGCUGCAGUACAGAAUUAUUUAUACUCUCUAAUCUGAUACACUUUAAGCAAGUUCUUGAAUUAAUUGCUUCUGUGCCAUCGCUUUUAUUAUUUGCAAAUAUUGAUCAUCAUCAGCUCCUUUUGGGAUGUUAGAGAGCUUUGUUCAGAGAGAAAGACCAUAAAAACAGAUUACAUAACUUGUCAUAUAAAAAUACUAUGUUCGCAUAUUACUCACAGUUAGCCAAGGCGCCGUCUGGUCAUAAUUGACAUAAGAGCUCAACCGUAAGUAACACAAUACACAAUCUGAAGAAUAGUUGCUUGAUCAGGAAGUCCAACUUUGUAGCUAUAAUAUGCUAUUUUCAUAAGACUUCGUUAAAGAUUGUUUUGUAAUUAAUUUCACACAACACAACCCUACAGAAAAUUGACCAAAACAAAAUGAAAUAUCAAGGCUGUAAUUAGCACUUGAUCAAAGGAAAAGAAGAAACAAAUGAAUUUGUAAGGAGUACUGCGAUACCCAUAUGAAUUUGUUUAAAGUUCUUUAUCAUAGAAAAAAUCAAUUGUAUGUCCUUCGUAUUUUCUCUAUAAAAACUUGCAUUAUAGACUGUAUGUUUGUUUUGAGAUUUACUGGAGUGAAUUGUUGUUUUUGUGAUUAUCAAAUAAUAUACUUCAGAGUUAUUUAUUUUUGUGUACAUAUAAAAUUGAAUUUAUUUUAAUGUGCACAAGAGUCAUUGGAAGGAUUUGCAUUAGGUAGAAUUUCACACGAAGAACAAGACUAAGAAAAUUUAAGGUGAUUUGCAUUUAUAAUCAGCAAACGACUCAACAUAUCAGAAUGAGAAGAACAUUGUUAUGCCGCCGGUGAACACACCAAACAGCAAGGUUUCCACACUUUUCAAGCAAGUGCAAGCUCCCAGAAUUUUAAAGAAACGAGUGAAUGGCAAGAGAGAAUAGAGAGGAAAAUUCAGAGAAGAAGAAGAAACUAAGUCCAGAACUUUUAUAUAUCCCCUCAAAUACAACCAUGGAAAUACUUAUAGCAGCAAGAAUAUGCUCACAGCUGUCAAAACUAAAUAACAACCUCUCUCUAUAACAAAAAUUAUUCUCUAAAUAGCUAAGGCCGUUAGAAACCGAGUCCUCUGCUCAUUUAUGCUCAGUGUGUGUAAUCCUUGAACCAUUUGGGAGGCUUCCUUACGCGACUUGGCUUGAUGUUAUCUUGGGGUCGGUUUUGGAUAGCCUCACUUGAGUUUGCCUGGGCCUUUUCCUCGCUAUUGAUAGAGCUAGCUGAGUUGGGCUUGUCUAACUGUAAUAUUGGGGUUGUAUCAAACAUUCAGGAAUCACCAGGCAGGACAAGAUCAAGGAGGCAACAAGGAAGCAUUUGUUUUGGCCAAAUAAAGUUUGCAGAUCUUUUAAUGCUAAGAUUAGUAAUCAAACCAUUAUUGGGAUAUUGGUUUGGCGAUGUUGAAUUAAUGGCCCUGAGCUUUAUGAUCUUUAUUACAUAUGUAUUUAUUGCAAUUACACAUAUAUGUAAUAUGUACCUUGUUGGCUUAUUUAUUUAUAUUAAUAAUUAAUAUGAUCUUUUAAAACUUAGCCAAAGUUGUUGAACAUAAAAACACUCAAGUAUUCAGUGUUCUUGAUUAAAUUAUCAUCAAUAGACAUAAUUAAAAAAAGAAAAUCCGAUUAUUACAAUGAUUGGAUUAGUUGGCUACAUUAGUGUUAUUGUCUAAUUAUCAAGGAUAACAUUCAAUUAUAUAUAACAUGUCCUUCACAUUUUCUCUUUUAAUUAAAAUUGUAACAAGACUUGCAAUUUAGACCAUGUAUUCGUUAUGUUGUUUAUUGGAGUGAAUUGAUGUUUUUGUUGUGCUUGUCAGGGAUUGUCUUUGUAAGUUAUUUAUUUUGUAUAUAUGAAAUCAAUGGGGGUUUCACUCUUAUGGAUGGAUGUUGUCGGGUACCAAGAAGUAAGAACUGAUAGUCGUGUUAAUUAAUUAGUAUAAAUUAGCUGAAUGUUCAAUGUUCAUGCUCUUUUGAGCUAGAUAUGGCAAUGAAAAUUGAGUUUCUGUGAUGUAAAAUAUGAAGCUAUUCAAUCAAGCAACUCUGCUUUUCAAUUUUCUUACAUCUAAGUCAAGUAGCACUUAUUUAUAAAUCCUCGAGAGCACAAACCUAAUCCAGGUUCAUACUUAUUAAAUUUGACAACAGACAAUGAAGUGUAAAAAGUGAAAUUCUUAUCUAUGAUAAGCACCUAAAUAAUUGCAUUGAGUUUUUCCAUUUUCAAAUUUUCAUUGCUAAUUCAACAAUUGAGAGACUCAAACAUAUGGAAUAAGAAAUUAACAUAUUCAACCCAAAAGGUUAUUCAACUUAGAUGAUUCAAUAUAACACUUAAUAAGCUUAUGAGUCUCAUUUAAGGAAUAUUAUAAUUUUACUUGGAUUGCUAGAAAUCACGGAAUGUUAUUCAUUUAAGUAUGUGAUACACUUGUUUGAUGAAUUGCUUAUAUGAGUAGAUUAUAUUUUUAUUUUGGUCAUAUUUCUUAUUUUUCUAAUCCCAUCUGUGAUCUGUCCCCUAUUUCCCAUCCCACAUCAAAUGGUGAUAUAGCUUCCCUAUCAUAUGUCGAACCCAUUAAAGCCAAAAGUAAGAAGUUAAAGAACUAUUUUGUACUGGCUAUACAAAGAACUAUAUUACAGUACUACACACCCACCCAAAAAAAUUAAAAAAAUAAAAUGAAGGCACCAUUCAUACUUCCAAAUCCAGCACUAGCACUUGAAAACAAUAGAAACAAAGGAAUUUGCCAAUAAAAAAAGUCAGCUGGAGAAAGCCAAUAACAAACCCAACGACAAUUGAACCAAUAUAAAUUUAAGAGUAAUGAUAUAUUGAUUUUCUGCAGUUUACCUUUUUUUUCAUUAUGUUAAAGUUCCAUUAUUUUUAUUGCUAUUCUCUAUGUUUACCAUUCCGCAUAAAUAUAUAUCCCCAAUAUAUUAGUUAUCACUUCUUAGAAAUUUUUGUAAUUAAUAUCAAUAUUCAAUCAUUUAGAAAAACCUGAUUAUUAAUGAUUAGUUUAUCUCUGAAUUAAAACUAGACACAUGUAAAUAUGUGAACUCGAAUUAAAUGUUGAUAUACUUGUAAUAUAUAUGAGUCGUAUCUAAAAAAGCAAGUUCUAAUUUCUACUUCCAUCUUUUAAAUGCCAGGUCGAUGCACAUUAUCUAUGCAUGCAUGUACUGAAUAGGGAAGUAACACAUAAAGAUGGAUUCUUUUUGCUGGACACUGAUUUUUAUUUGUCAUUUUUUCCAAUUGUUCAAUGAUGCUUGCUCCACCCAUGUCCAGUUAGUCAAGCAGACAAGCACAAGCGCGUGAAGCUUGCUAAAUUAUUGAUGCAUAAAGUGGAAGCAAAAGCCAGAGGCAGCCCCCACCGCCACCGAUAAUUUUUUGUUUAAUGUUAUUUCGUGUAUAUCAUUUAUAACAUAUUAAUCGACUUAUUAUUUUAUUAAGUAUAUAUAUAUAUAUAAUAAAUGAGUCGAAUUUAUGUUCAGCUAAAAUUUUGUUAUAUUUCACACGACAGUAAAUAGUUGUCAAAAAAUUAUGGUGUCCUUUUAAGUCUUUGUCUUAGCAUUGAAAUUAAUUCAAUAAAUGAAGUAAUUAUAUGGCAAAAGGAGAGAGAGACAGAAACGUUGUGAUUUAACUUGGUUUAUAAGUUUGAAGAUUUGUAAAGCGAAGGUUCGUAGUAGAUGCAUUCCAUUUUCUUCUUUAUUCAGCAUUUACCCGGACGCUGGAUUAAUGUUGUUGACCCUACAAAUAUCAAAGUCCGAUUUUAUAUUUAUUUAUUUAUUUUUUUAUAUACGAUUUUAUAUUUAUUGAUUCUAGUAACUAGUGGUGGUCACUGGGGAUUGGUGACUUGCUAAACUAUUAAUGGGAGGUGGGCUCUCCUUUUGUUUUCACUUUCCUGGAAUAAACAAGUGGAAGACUUGUUACAUGCACUUUGCUUGACUCUCCAUGCUUACUGUUUUAUUUUCUGAUUUUGUUUCCCAAAACUCAAAGUUCUGUUUCUUUCUUUGCGCCAAAAAGAAAAAAAAAAUGUCAAUCAUCGGAGAGGCAAUCCUUACGGCGUCCGUUGAUUUGCUGGUCAAUAAGUUAGCUUCAGAGGGGAUUCGGUUGUUUGCACGCCAAGAGCAAAUCCAGGCCGACCUAAAGAAGUGGAAGAAUAUGUUGGUGAUGAUCAAGGCGGUGCUUGCUGAUGCUGAGGAGAAGAGGACGACUGAUGCACCACUUUUACUCCACAAUCGAUCCAGUUGUUGCACCACUUUUACUCCACAAUCGAUCCAGUUCGAUUAUGCCUUGAUGUCCAAAAUAGAAGAGAUCAACGGCAGAUUUCAAGAUAUUGAAACACAGAAAGACUCGCUGGGUUUGAACGUAAGUUCAGCUGGGAGGUCCAAAAAAGACAGGCAAAGACUACCCACAACCUCUUUGGUGAAUGAAGCCAAGGUAUAUGGCAGGGAAACAGAAAAGAAGGAAAUUGUUGAAUUGUUGUUGAGGGAUGAUUUAAGAAAUGAUGGUGAAUUCUCUGUUAUUCCUAUCAUAGGUAUGGGCGGGCUGGGCAAAACCACUCUUGCUCAGCUUGUCUAUAAUGAAGAUCGAGUGCAGGGUCAUUUUGAUCUCAAGGCAUGGACUUGCGUCUCUGAUGAUUUUGAUGUUAUCAGGCUUACAAAAUCAAUCCUACUUUCAAUUGCUAGUGACCAGAAUGUGGAUAAUGACGACUUGAAUAAGCUUCAAGAGAAAUUGAAGAAACAACUAUUUGGAAAGAAAUUUUUGCUUGUUUUAGAUGACGUUUGGAAUGAGAAUUACAAUGAUUGGGUUGACAUAUGCCGUCCGUUUGAAGCUGGCGCACCGGGAAGUAAGAUUAUUGUCACAACCCGUAAUCAAGAGGUUGCAGCCAUCAUGGGGACUGCUCCAGCUUAUCAAUUGGAAAAGUUGUCAUUUGAUGAUUGUUUGUCCGUGUUCGCUCAACACUCUUUGGGGACAACAGAUUUCAGUUCAAAUAAGGCAUUGGAGGAAAUUGGCAAGAAGAUAGUGAUCAAAUGCAACGGCUUGCCCUUGGCUGCGAAAACUCUUGGUGGACUCUUACGUGGUAAAUGUGACCGAAGUGAUUGGGAAGAUGUGCUCAGUUGCAAGAUAUGGAAUUUACCAGAGGAGAGAUGUGACAUUAUACCGGCGCUUAGAGUGAGCUACUAUUAUCUUUCGGCACCUUUGAAACAGUGCUUUGCAUACUGCUCAUUGUUUCCAAAGGAUUAUGAAUUUGAAGAGGAGGAGAUAAUUUUGUUAUGGUGUGCUUCGGGUUUCUUGGAUCACGGAGAGGGAGGGAAUCCUAGUGAAGAUCUAGGUAGAAAGUUCUUUCAAGAGCUACGUUCAAGAUCUUUUUUCCAGCAAUCAAGCAACGAUGCAUCACGAUUUGUGAUGCACGAUCUUAUCAACGACCUUGCCCAUUGGGCUGCGGGGGAGAUAUACUUCACAAUGGAGUAUACCUCGGAGGUUAACAAGCAACAGAGUUUUUCCAAUAAUCUUCGUCAUCUAUCGUACAUUCGUGGAGAAUAUGAUGGCGUUAAACGGUUUGAGGGCUUGUACGAUAUCCAACAUUUGCGAACUUUUUUACCAGUAAAGCUGUCAAAUAGUUUGGAUGGAUACUUGGCUCAUAGCAUUCUUCCUAAGUUGUUCAAACUCCAACGCUUGAGGGUCUUCUCCUUGUUUGGAUACCGCAUCUCUGAGCUACCAAAUUCAGUAGGUGAUUUGAGGUAUUUAAAGUACCUUAACCUAUCUGGAACUGAAAUUAGAACUCUGCCUGAAUCAGUGAACAAGCUUUACAAUUUGCACACACUUUUGUUGGAGGGCUGUCGGGAACUGAAGAAGUUGUGUGCAGAAAUGGGAAGCCUCAUCAAAUUGCAUCAUCUUAAAAAUUCAAAUACAGAUUCCUUGGAGGAAAUGCCACUAGGAAUUGGUAAUUUGACUUGUCUUCAGACGUUGUGUAAUUUUGUUGUGGCAAAAGACAGUGGUUCCGGGUUAAGAGAGCUGAAGUCGUUGACGCAUCUUAAGAGGACACUUAAAAUUUCAAAAUUGGAGAAUGUAAAAUGCGUUGGUGAUGCCAUGGAGGCUCAAAUGGAUGGAAAGAAGAAUCUGAAAGAAUUAUCGCUUAAUUGGACUUGCAGUACCGAUGGUUCAUCGUCAAGGGAGGCAGAAACUGAAAUGGGCGUGCUUGACAUGCUAAAACCUCAUACAAAUCUGGAGCAAUUUUGUAUCAAAGGCUAUGGAGGUAUGAAAUUUCCAACUUGGUUGGGAGAUUCCUCAUUCUCAAAUUUGGUGACCCUAAAAUUUGAAAAUUGUGACAUGUGUACUGCCCUGCCGUCAGUCGGCCAACUACCCUCUCUAAAGCAUCUUGCAGUAUGUGGAAUGAGCAGAGUAAAGAGGCUGGGUUCAGAGUUCUAUGGGAAUGAUCCUCCAAUUCCUUUUCUAUGCUUGGAGACUCUUCGUUUUGAAGACAUGCAAGAAUGGGAAGACUGGAUUCCCCAUGGAUCCAGUCAAGGAGUUGUUGAAGGGUUUCCUAAAUUGAGAGAGCUUCACAUUUUAAGAUGUUCUAAAUUGAAAGGAACAUUUCCAGAGCACCUUCCUGCAUUGGAGAUGCUUGUUAUUGAAGGAUGUGAAGAAUUGUCAGUUUCGAGUCUUCCAGCUCUUUGCAAAUUACAGAUUGGUGGAUGUAAAAAGGUUGUGUGGGAAAGUGCAACUGGUCAUCUCAGAUCUCAGAAUUCAGUGGUUUGUAGAGAUGCAUCAAAUCAAGUGUUUCUCGCAGGGCCAUUAAAGCCGCAACUGCCAAAAUUGGAAGAAUUGGAGAUAAAUGAUAUGAAAGAGCAUACAUAUAUAUGGAAGAGUCAUGACGGAUUACUACAAGACAUUUGCUCUCUCAAAAGAUUGACGAUUGACAGCUGUCCCAAACUUCAAUCCUUGGUGGCGGAGGAAGAGAAAGACCAACAACAGCAGCUCUGCGAGUUGUCAUGCAGACUCGAAUAUCUAGGAUUGAGCGACUGCCAAGGCCUUGUGAAGCUGCCACAAUCAUCGCUCAGCCUGAGUUCCUUGAGAGAGAUAGAAAUCUGCGGUUGUCAUUCCCUUAUUUCCUUUCCUGAGGUUGCUCUGCCUUCCAAGUUGAAGAAAAUUGAGAUUAGCAAAUGUGAUGCACUGAAAUCGUUACCAGAGGCAUGGAUGUACGACUCCAAUUCAUCUCUCGAGGACAUGAGUAUUAGGAAGUGCUAUUCGUUGACAUAUAUUGCUGGAGUCCAGCUACCACUGAGCCUUAAGAGGUUGGACAUCCUUAAUUGCGAUAAUAUAAGGACUUUGACAGUGGAAGAGGGCAUCCAGUGUAGCAAUAGCAGCAGCAGCAGCAGAAGGUAUGCCUCAUCUCUUCUUGAGGACUUAACAAUUUACAGGUGUCCAUCUCUGACGUGUAUAUUUUCAAAAAACGAGUUACCUGCCACGCUGGAGUCCCUUGAAGUUGGCAAUCUACCUCCGUCUCUUAAGAGCCUUAAUGUUUGGAGUUGUUCAAAGCUGGAGUCAAUAGCAGAAAGGUUGGACAACAACACAUCUCUUGAAAAAAUCAGUAUAGAGAGGUGUGGAAAUCUGAAAAAUUUACCGAGUGGUUUACAUAAUCUCCGAGAGCUUCAAAAGAUUGAGAUAGGCGAAUGUGGAAAUCUGGUGUCCUUUCCCGAAGGGGGAUUGCCUUGUGCGAAACUCACGAGGCUGCAGAUAUCUGAUUGUGAGAGACUAGAGGCCUUACCCGAGGCAUUGCACAAUCUGAGCUCUCUUGAAGACUUAAAAAUAGGAGGUGAGCUUCCAAGCCUUGAAGAAGAUGGCCUUCCCACCAACCUUCAUUUUCUGAAGAUUGAGCGUAAUAUGGAGAUUUGGAAGUCAAUGAUUGAGCGGGGCCGGGGAUUCCGCAGAUUCUCCUCUCUGCGAGGACUUAAAAUCAUCGGAUGCGAUGACGACAUGGUGUCAUUCCCACCGGAGGACAUAAGAUUAGGGACCACGCUUCCUCUUCCUGCCUCUCUAACAUAUCUGAAGAUUGAUAAUUUUCCAAAUCUGGAACGCCUAUCUUCUUUAAUUGUUGAUCUUCAAAACCUCACUCAUUUGUAUCUCUAUGAUUGUCCCAAGCUCAAAUACUUUCCGGAAAAGGGCCUGCCUUCCUCACUUUUGCUAUUAAUUAUCUGGAAAUGUCCGUUGAUAGAAGAGAAGUGCAGAAAGGAUGGAGGACAAUAUUGGGACUUGUUAACCCAUAUACCGCGUGUUGUUAUAGAUGGUAAAUCCGCUUUUGGCGAUAACACAUAGGACGGCUGAAAUAUUUUAUUGUCAGUAUUUUUUUUUUUAAUUGUGCGUGUAUGUGUUGGUGAUUAAUGGGUUUUCGAAAUAAAAAGAACAAUGGGCUCGCAUUAUUUAGCAAAGGAGGAGGACUCUAUUAAUUAAUUAAUUAAUUAAUUAAUUAAUUUCUUAUGCCUAUCUCAUUCUCAGCGGUUGAAACUUCAAUUUCUUAUAUUUGUUCUUCU